Bactrocera oleae (olive fruit fly) is the source of this 985-nucleotide long non-coding RNA. RefSeq lists it as uncharacterized. The record is from RefSeq and is a predicted model, not a curated record. Lineage: Eukaryota; Metazoa; Arthropoda; Insecta; Diptera; Tephritidae.
CUGAACGUUUUCACAAUUUUCAGCAGAAAUUAAAUAAACAAUAUGUUUUUGAAUUAUAAUUAAACAGAAAUCGCUAAAUUUCGUUAUUGUUAACAAGGAGUAAAAAUAAAAAACUAAACGGAAAUCAUACAAUUAAUAGUGUUAUAUUUCAGUAUAUUUGAUAAAUCAACUUUGGAGGUAAAGUCAAAAGAAUGGGAAAACUAUCUAGGUGGUUAAUGUAUGACUAAGGCGCGGCUUGGGCGCGAGUAUGAAAGUAGGGGAUAUGAAGGAGUUACGAAAUUAAAUAGAAAAUUAAACAAAAAAGUCUAAAGAACUAGAACUAGAAAAGCCUUCAACUACCCAAAUACCAAACCACAAAUAUUAAUAAUGCAGUGCAUCUAGAUCUCAAGUGUUAAUGAAUACAAAACAAAAACUAAAACUCAAACCAAAAUGUUAGAUUGGCAAUACUUGCAUAAAACAACUAGCAGAGAUAAACAUCUAGUUUAAAAAGGUUCACAUAGGAGAGAUUUCGCUUAAAUUUUGUAUCCUAGAUAUGACACGUGGCAAUUUAGUCGUACAAUGCUCCGAAGAAAUUAGUCAAAUGAAACGAUCUACGGCAGAAAAAUUGGUGUUCUAUUAUCAAAAUAUGUUUCUGAAUUUAAUUUCUUUGUUUAUCAAUAUUUCUUCUCUCGGUUUUGACUGUGAAGGGGUGAGGGUUCAAAUGGAUUUCGUAAGUGUGACGUUUAUGAACGACCGUUGUGUUGAGUUUGUCAGUUGGACUGAGAUGCGAUAAAUUCAUUAAGCGAUUUGCGAAAAGAUGCCGCUGAAGAUAUGAAUUAAGAGCGAGGCUAUACGAGUACCAAAAUAAAAAGUAUUUGUCAAAAUCUCAUCAAUUUAAUGAUUUCAUUAUGUGUUACAACUAUUUACUGUCUAUAUGUGAUAUUAAUACGUAUGUGUGUAUGUGAGUAUGUGUCCAUGACUUGAAAUAAAUAGAACGUCGAAGUGA